RNAcentral lists this long non-coding RNA (299 nucleotides) under Lathyrus oleraceus (garden pea). RNAcentral describes it as "Pisum sativum (pea) long non-coding RNA (PSAT_LNC028941)". The record is from RNAcentral. Lineage: Eukaryota; Viridiplantae; Streptophyta; Magnoliopsida; Fabales; Fabaceae.
AGGAGAGAAACGAAAACUCUCUCACACUCCAACGUCUCUCUCUGAGCCAAAAAGGACAAAAAGAAAAAUAAUAAAGACUCUAACGGACAAAAACACAAAAGAUAUCCCUCACGUCCCUCUCUCUGCUGCAACAAGAAAAUGAAGAAGCUCAGAGCUUUGAAAGAAAAAAAUAAAAUAGUCUUCAUUGUGGAGGCACAUACACACUCACAUUACAUAACUCUCUCCGCUGUAACUUCAUAAAAUCUUCCUUCACCCCAUCCAUCUUCAACGUUAUACUCUUUCUUCCUCUCAUAUCCAAG